Molecule: ribosomal RNA, 388 nt
Filed under: uncultured bacterium
Lineage: Bacteria
Description: bacterial SSU rRNA
Rfam family: Bacterial small subunit ribosomal RNA
Source: RNAcentral
AUUGAACGCUGGCGGCAUGCUUUACACAUGCAAGUCGAACGGCAGCACGGGCUUCGGCCUGGUGGCGAGUGGCGAACGGGUGAGUAAUGCAUCGGAACGUGCCCAUUUGUGGGGGAUAACUACGCGAAAGCGUGGCUAAUACCGCAUACGCCCUGAGGGGGAAAGCGGGGGAUUCUUCGGAACCUCGCGCAAUUGGAGCGGCCGAUGUCAGAUUAGCUUGUUGGUGAGGUAAAGGCUCACCAAGGCGACGAUCUGUAGCGGGUCUGAGAGGAUGAUCCGCCACACUGGGACUGAGACACGGCCCAGACUCCUACGGGAGGCAGCAGUGGGGAAUUUUGGACAAUGGGGGCAACCCUGAUCCAGCCAUGCCGCGUGAGUGAAGAAGGCC